RNAcentral lists this long non-coding RNA (19658 nucleotides) under Eucalyptus grandis. RNAcentral describes it as "long non-coding RNA (EGRA_LNC005627)". The record is from RNAcentral. Lineage: Eukaryota; Viridiplantae; Streptophyta; Magnoliopsida; Myrtales; Myrtaceae.
UCAAGUGUAUUGACUAAUCUCUCUAUGAGUUCUCUAGUCAGGAUUGAUCAUCCAUCUAUGAGGUUGAGGAAAACUUCUUCAUUGCACGGAAUUGUGAGGCCUCCCAUUGGAUGAUCGAAGCCAAACUCCUCCUCAGCUUGACUCAGCAGGUCCUGGAACGAGGGCCGAGAUAAGUAUGACAGAGGAACGAUGAAUCUCUUCUUUUGGUUUUCUCCUACAUAAACUGGGAAAUACCCCUUUGGAACGUCUAAGGGAGCAGAAUCUACUUCUCUGCGACCAGAUAGAGACCGCCGCAACUUUUUUCCUGGCAAACUGAUCCCCAUAAUCAUAAGUCUGAAAUCUGUUUCCAAAAGGAAAGACUUGAGGACGAUGCUAUGCCACUUGCUGGAAGGAAGUAGGAAGAAAUGUGAAUUUUGAUUUGGGUGCAGAAGCAAUGGCUUGGUAAUGUAUAUAUAGGGUGAGUGGAUGGCAAGUGAGCCUAUCUGCCAAGCUGAAUGAGUGAUGAGGAGGUUGCAGCAUACAGGGCCAAAGGAGAAACAUGGGCUGUUGGGGGCUCACGUGUCAAUGUCUGCCAAACCUCAAGAAACUCUAGAGCUCAUUAUUGCAGCAAACAUCAUGGCCCACGUCUCCUGAAGACAGGAUUCCUCACAGGUCCUACUGAAAUCUGAAGAGAUUGUGGUUGAUGUGAACUACCUCUCUCGGUUAGUUGGAGAGGACUCCUUAACAAACCAUUUGUCCCAGGACUAAUAAACAGCCCUCCCAAAUUUGUGGUGUUAGUCACUCACUCAUGACUCAACUAACAGGCCGUUUUCCACUUCAUACGGACCUUGACCCUAAAAUGAGUGCUUUACAAUCCUAUCUAGGCUUGAGCAUAUUACCUUUUCCUUUUCUCAAUUGCAGGAAACAUGGCACUCAAGAAGUAUUGUGGGUUUCAAAUGGAUAAAAUAUGAUGCUUUCUUGGAGAGAGUGGUGGUACAAGAUCCUCCUGUUAAAUUUGGCAGAACAACAGCGUACCACUUGUACCAACCAACAUGUUUGAGACAUUAGCCAAUGUUGCCACAUGAGUAGCAGGGUCACCUGAAAUGACAUGGCUUAGCAGUGGUUUAAUAUCACCGGGUAGUUGUUUUAUCAAGAAAAUAAGGUUCGGUGAUGAGGCAUAUCACACCCUGGAUAAUAUAGGUCUUGUAUUGACUGUAUGGCAAUUCCUGGAUCUAAUCUAAAUACUGUCCAUUGGCCACAAUUUGUGUCCUGGUUGCACACUUUGCUGUACUUCGCCCCUGAAUCAAUCAAUGGUAUAUAUGCAAACAUGUACUGGAUCAGAUGAAAAAUUCAAAUGUUUAGGGAACAAAGAAAAUGUUGGAAAUUGUGAUCCAUUUUCUCUAAAAAUAUCUAGAAACUACUAACUUAAUCAUGAAGGUGAGAACCUUCUAGAAUUGUUGAGAAUGGAGAUUGCUAGUUGAAUCUAGAAGAUUCACAUGGGAAUGCAAGCAAGCAAAAGCCAAGCAUCAAAGAAAAUCCUAGAACAAGCAAGAGAAGUCUAGAGAAGUCCAUGCUUCAAGAGAAGUCUAGAAUUCUAGAAUGCUUCAAGAGAAGUCUAGAAUUCUACAAUGCUUCAAGAGAAGUCUAGAAUUCUCUAUCUUAUGUUAGUAUCUAUUUGUAGAGAAGUCUAGAGACUUCCUCCACCUACUUUGGUAGCCUAUAUAAAGGAGCAAGUGCUCCAUGUUUUGGUGAAGGGAGCUAACCAUAAAAACCACACAUCAUGCUCCCUUACCAACACCUCAACUAUUGUAAAAUUAUUUUCAUAAACUAGUGAAACUAUCUUUGUCCCAUAAACCUUCUCAAAAGAUCCUAUCAUUGUCCCUUGUCCAUCCCCUAUCAAAUAUAAACUAUACCAUGCUUCCGCGCACAUUUAAAUUCUAACAUGGUAUCAGAGCUAGGUUACGCCCAGGUUCGUAACUGAGCCAGGCGUAAGGGACCAUGAAGCCAAAACCAGGCAUAUCGGAUGGUUAUGGGCGUUUGUCCUCACCAUCCUCAACUAAAAAGGCUAGAGCCCGAGCGAGACCCAAUAGAGCUAGAGCCGGAGCCAGAGCCAAAAUCAAAGGCCAGAGCCCGAGCGAAAGCCAACAGAGCCAGAGCUGGAGCUAGAGCCAAAAUCAAAGCCGGAGCCAGAGCCAGAGCCUACGAGAGCCAGAGCCAGAGCCCGAACUAACAACUACAACUAAGAGCAUUUUGCCACAAGACAUAUGGGACAUCAUUAAAGAAAAGACAUAUGCAUGUUCAAAGGCAAGUGCAAGUGGUUCGACAAAAGGAUACAAGGGAUUGUGGCACAAAGACAACACAAAAGGCAUUGGACAAAUUACAAGAGAAAUUUCAAGGUAUGUCCGAGACUUUACAACACAAGUCCGGAUUAUCUCGAAAAUGGAUCAAGGGGGAGUGUUGGAAAUUGUGAUCCAUUUUCUCUAAAAAUAUCUAGAAACUACUAACUUAAUCAUGAAGGUGAGAAUCUUCUAGAAUUGUUGAGAAUGGAGAUUGCUAGUUGAAUCUAGAAGAUUCACAUGGGAAUGCAAGCAAGCAAAAGCCAAGCAUCAAAGAAAAUCCUAGAACAAGCAAGAGAAGUCUAGAGAAGUCCAUGCUUCAAGAGAAGUCUAGAAUUCUAGAAUGCUUCAAGAGAAGUCUAGAAUUCUCUAUCUUAUGUUAGUAGCUAUUUGUAGAGAAGUCUAGAGACUUCCUCUACCUACUUUGGUAGCCUAUAUAAAGGAGCAAGUGCUCCAUGUUUUGGUGAAGGGAGCUAACCAUAAAAACCACACACCAUGCUCCCUCACCAACACCUCAACUAUUGUAAAAUUAUUUUCAUAAACUAGUGAAACUAUCUUUGUCCCAUAAACCUUCUCAAAAGAUCCUAUUAUUGUCCCUUGUCCAUCCUCUAUCAAAUAUAAACUAUAUCAUGCUUCCGCGUACAUUUAAAUUCUAACAGAAAAACCAGAAAUUACAGAGAUUCAGGCCUAGAAAAGCAAAAGUUGAGAGGGUAGGAAAAACGUUUGCCUCCAGGUUCGUCGUGUGGCAGACUUGUAAUAUACUGAUUCUAUGGAGAAAUUGACAAGAUUCAGCCAACUAGUUUUUAGCUUAUAUGAAGUUAAGAAUGGCAGAAAUGGUAGUGACAUCUAAAUCCAGAUGUAACACCCCUUCAAACUUCAUUUGGAAACAAUUUGGAUGGAGAUAUGCAUUUCAUUUUGCAAUCUACCAUUUAGCUCCAGUUUAUUGACUUGAUCUACAAUAGAUCUAAUUGACCUUUUCGUCUCCAUUCCUUGUCAUGCAAAAAUUCUUUUAGGCCGUGCUGAGAAAUACAACGAUUACCACAACUCUGAACAGUAGCAUGUAAAAGCAAGUCUUGUAGAUUAUUUUUCUCAGAACCAUCGCCAGUUCACAUAAAACAAGAGGAGGAAACAAGAGUGCUUUUAGCAGAAGCUAAUCACACAAAAGAUCAAUCCGUAAUGAGGUAGAUAACCAGAGACUCAACUUCUUUACUUUCGGCACAAAGUGAUUACCAAAAGGAUGAAAUCGAUCACUAGGAACACCACAUAUCCACAUAUUCAUGAAAAUCAAUGUCAUUGAUCCAAAUUGCAUCUUCAAUUGUACAUCUAUCUAUCUCCUUAAACUGGUACUCCCUAAACAAUAGGGGAAAAUAUCAACACCAGUUGUAAAAUUUGUAUACAAAAUCAUGUCAAGUGUAUCAACUAAUCUAUCUAGGAGUUCUCCAGUCAGGGUUGAUCAUCCAUCUAUGAGGCUGAGGAAAACUUCUUCAUUGCAUGGAAUCGUGAGGCCUCCCAUUGGAUGGUCAAAGCCGAACUCCUCAGCUUGAUUCAGCAGGUCCUGGAAUGAGGGCCGAGAUAAGUAUGACAGAGGAAUGAUGAAUCUCUUCUUUUGGUUUUCUCCCACAUAAACUGGGAAAUGCCCCUUUGGAACGUCUAAGGGAGCAGAACCUACUUCUCUGCUACCAGAUAGAGACCGCCGCAACUUUUUUCCUGGCAAACUGAUCCCCAUGAUCAUCAGUCUGAAAUCUCUUUUCAAAAGGAAAGACUUGAGGAAGAUGCUAUGCCACUCGCUGGAAGGAAAUAGGAAGAAAUGUGAAUUCUGACUUGGGUGCAGAAGCAUUGGCUUGGAAGGCAUAUAUAGGGUGAGUGGAUGGCGAGUCUAUCUGCUAAGCUCAAUGAGUGAUAAGGAGGUUGCAGCAUAUAGGGCCAAAAGAGAGACAUGGGCUGUUGGGAGUUCACAUGUUGAUGUCUGCCAAACCUCAUAAGACUUUAGAGCUCAUUAUUGCAGCAAACAUCAUGCCCCACCUCUCCUAAAGUCAGGAUUCCUCGCAGGUCCUACUGAAAUCCGAAGAGAUUGUGGUUCAUGUGAACAGCCUCUUGGUUAGUUGGAGAGGACUAUGAACAAACCAUUUCUCAGGACUAAUAAACAACACUCCCAAAUUCGUGGCGCGAUCACUCAUUCAUGACUCAACUAACAGGCCCGUUUCUAGUUCAUAUGGACCUCAAAACGAGUGCUUUGCAAUCCUAUCUAGGCCUUAGCAUAUUACCUUUCCUUUUCUCAGUUGCAAGAAAUAUGAGGUCCUAGAAAUAAAUUGGUGUCAAUCAUACCUUUCUUAAAACCAUUACUCACUAGAAACUUACUCAACAUUUCGUAUUAAGCAUGAGGUGUUUGCUUUAGACCAAUAAGGCUUUCUUCAGUUUGUAGAUAAAGUUUGAUUUUCUAGAAUUUUCAAAUCUUGGAGGUUGUUCCACAUAGAUUUUUUUUGAAUGAAACCAUUGAGAAAAGUACUUUUGAAGUCCAUCUGAAAUAGUUUAAAGUUAUGAAAACAUGCAUAAGCUAAUAGCAGCCUUAUGGUUUCCAACCUAGCUAUAGGUGCAUAUGUUUCAUCAUAGUCUGUUUCUUGUUCUUGUGCAUAUCCUUUUGCCAUGCAUCUUGCCUUGUUUCUGAUCAUUUUUCCCUUUUUAUCCAUCUUGUUUUUGAACACUCAUUUAGUUUUAAUCACAAAUUUUCCUCUUGGUUUGGGAACCAACUUUCAAACAUCAUUGAUCUUGAAUUAUCAAAGUUUUUCUUGCAUUGCUUUCAUCUAGCUUUCAUCGGAUAAAAUUUCUUCUAUUCCCUUUGGUUUCACUUUAGAAACAAGUGCUAAAGCAUUUAGAUCUUCUUUUCCUUUGGAUCCGGUGUAGAUCCCUUCUUCUAUAUUACCAAUAAUGAGGUCUUUAAGAUGACUUAAUUUGUGCUUCCAAUUAUUGUUGAAUUUGUCACUUUCUUCAAGAGUCUCCUGUGGCUCUGUCUGUAUUAAUUCUUUCGUUUUAUCUUCAAUUUAAACAUGUUCAACGGAAGGCUAAUCCUAUCCUGGAGACUCAGACUUUGUUAAAUUUGAGACUAACUUAGAUUCUUCAAGCUGAGUCUGAUCACGUUGAUUCUGACAGCCUUCUUGAAAUCUGACGUUCAUUGAUUCUUCAAUAGUCUAGGUGCUUUUGUUGAAGACUAUGUAUGCCUUGUUGUAGAAUAUCUGAGAAAUAUUCAUUCUUUUGACUUUUCCUCAAACUUACCCAGACGAUCAUUUGUAUUUUUCAAGAUAAAACACUUGCAACCAAAAUAAAUUUCUGCCUUAGUAGAUUUCAUAUGGGGUUUUCAUUAAUGAUAGGCCUAAAAGAUACUUUGUUAAUUUAUAUAGCAAGCAAUAGAGACUGCUUCUGUCUAGAAGUGAGAAGAAACUCUACCUUCAAUUAACAGAGUUUUGGGCAUUUCUUGCAAAGACCGAUUUUUCCUUUCUAUAACUCCAUUAUGUUUUGGAGUGUAAGGGGAAGAGAACAUAUUGAAAACAAUUUUCAUUACAAAAACUUGUAAACUCUUGAUUUUUGAAUUCUCUCAUAUGGUUUGUUUUGAUGUUGGAAAUUGUGUAGCCUUUCUCAUUUUGAACAUUUUUAGCAAACUUUAAAAAGUAAGGGAAGGCUUCUAUUUUUUUUGCUAAAAAGAAGAGGCUUCUAUUUUUUGUUUGCUAUAAAGAAGACCCGUGAAAACAUUGAGUAAUCAUCUACAAUCACUAAACAAUAUUUCUUGCCUCAAAUACUUUGGGUUCUGGCUUAUCUUACGUCCUUUUUUACUUACCCGAAAAAGGGUCAAAUUGUUCGAACCUUUCCCUUUUUCGCCCCCAUGUCGCCAUGCAGGAGGGGCAUGGGGACAUUAAUUUCCUAUUUUUGUAAAAAAAAAUACAAUUAAAAAAAAAGACUCAAAAUGAACGUAUCUUUCUAACAUUCAUUCUUCACCAUCCCAUUGUCGAAAAAAAGAUAUCGUAUGUAUCGAUAAAUUGUCAAAACAAAAAUUUGAUUCUUUUUACGAAUUUGAUAUUGAAAAUCCGCGAAUCUAGAAAUUCAUUUCGGACAAUUGAACCUUCUCAAACCCCGAAAAUAUCCAUGUGAAGGAGCUGCAAAUAUGUUUUAUGGAUUUGAAUGAACUUCUAACCUGUUUUCCCAAAGUGCAUGGAGUACAUAGCCAUAUUAAAGAGACCAUGGACCAGCUCCUUGGAAGAUAGCUUCAUGAUUUGUUUCACUUUAUAGGAUUGAAGAGUUCUAAUGAGUUCAUCAACUGAAAGUGGCAUAAUCCUUUGCGUUUCUCAUAUUGAGGUUUUGACAUGAUUCUAGUUCUUUGAGAGCCCUCGCAGAAGUUUGUUAACAUUCAUUGAAGAAAAAAUUGAUUGUCCUUGAUAUGCCAUACCACUCACAAUUUUUGUGAAAUGACUGAACAUAUCUCCAAUAGAUUCUCUAGACUUCAUUUUGAAAGACUCCUAUUGACCAAGCAAAAUGUUCACUUUUGUUUCUUUUACACGAUUUGUUCCUUCGUAUGUAACAUGAAGUCUAUCCCAGAUUUCUUUGGUUGUUUCACACGAAAAAAUUCUGUUAUACUUAACAGGAGAUAAAGUACAAUAUAAAUAAUAGAUGGCUUUGACAUCAAAGGCCUGUCUCUUGGUAAUUUCUGCUUGAUCGAUUUCUUCAGCAUCUAUUACUUCUUUUCCCUUGUUUGAAGUCAAAACAACCUUUGGAUUAAUUCAUUUUUUCCACAACAUCCCACUCUAGAGGAUCUCUGGAUUCUAGGAAUGCCUUCAUUUUAUUUUUCCACACAUUGUAUUCCUUUCUAUCAAAAUAAGGUGGCUUGGUGUUGUUGUGUCCUUCCACGAGUCUUGGUGCCAAGAUACUAGCCAUAGAAAAUCUUUAGUUUAGAAAUAAGAACACUCCAAGAAGAUGAGCACAAGGCUCUAUACCAAUUGAAGAAGCUAGACAUAACACCUAGAGGGGAGUGAAUAGGUGUUUGAAAGAAAUCUUGACAAAUAAAUCCAAAGUAAAAUAAAUUACAAGCAAAGUCUGGAUGAAAAACAUAAUUAGUUUCAAGGAACACCAGACUUCUUAAUUAGAGAGUGUGCAAUAGACUUAAAAUAAACAGAGUUGAGAGAAGAGAAAAUUGCGUACGAAUUUUAUAAUGGUUUGGCUUAAAUUAAGCUUAUGUAAACUCUUUCACACUAACAGCCUAUUGGCUGGAUUUCACUAUAUGAUCAAUAGAAGAUCACAACUUAUUAGUGCAAACACUCAAUGGUAGAUUUCGCUAGCUCACUAAGACAUUCCUUUUGUGUAUUUCUAUCUUGAUCGCAAUUUGUAAUGCUCACAAACGAAGACAGGUAAUUGAGAGAAGUUUCAGACUUUAGAAUUCUAAUUUCACGUUCCCCUAAUCAACUUGGCCGAAUGACCUUCCUUUAAAUGCUCCUCAAUGCAAUACUAGCCGUUGAACAGAAUCAUUCAAGAAAAUUCUUCCAAUCAAGCCGUUGGAUAGAAUCGUUCAAGGAAAUCUUGUGCCCAUUGACGAUAGGAAUGUAAAUUCCACUUGAUUAUGUUUGUCCAUACAACUAGAAUCUUGGUUUCCAUAAAUGAUGUUUCCUCAUAUGGAACUUACCUUCGAGAUUGAUUUUGUCAAUAUAUAAUUGACUUAAUCAAUGUUUUUGAAUAAGAUAAGUGAAAUCCUUAGCUAGAAGAUAAUCACUGAAGAAUUGUUUUUAGAGGAAGUUCUUUCUGGAUUUGUGUUGCAACAUCACUAGAUCUAGUUCUAGACUAUUCCUUGUUCUAGAUAUUAUAUUGUUUUGGGCUCAUCAAAGAGGGAUAUACUUCUGAAAAAGUAUUGUUAAGAGUCAUUGAAAAUUCUUCCGAAGUAAAGACGAUAGAAGUAGAAAAUUUCAUCAACUUCAAAAUUUGGUAGAAGUUUUCUUUAACAGUCUUUACUCUAUUUGUAUCAUGUUGGGGCAUUUAUGGGUUCCUUAAGAGAUCGUGCUCUUUUAAAUUGAGAAGCAGCUAUAUAUUGGCAUAAAAUGAAGCUGGCUGUCGGGCAAAUUAAAGUAUCACGUGAUCAUCGAGAAAUCUUCCGUUGCCCCAGAAUUUGUUGCAACGGAAUUCUGCCCAACUAUGAGGAGACAGACAAUAAAUAAACUUAAGAAUAUGACUGGUUAGCCAGAACAAGAGGAAUGAUUUGGGUAAGUGUCACCCUUGGCUCAUGAAAAUGCUGAAGAAACCAAAAAGCUAUAUCCUGAUGGCGAAGAAAGUGCCUAAUCUCCUAGCUUAACUAACCUCCCAACUCUGUAUCCGUGCCUCUAGAUCAUUCACUCUCUUCACUUUAACAAACAAGAGUUUUAGCUGGCAGCUUUUAUUCAGAAAUAGACAAACGAGCCAGAUUGAUGACAACUCAGCUUACACCGAAGGACCAACAUUUUUUAUGUAAGAAAAACAUUUUCUUUCCUGUUGAGUUUAACUGAAUAAGUUUUUUUUUUUUGUCAAAAACAUAAGUUAGUAAGCCAUGGAACAUAGAUAAAAGAUUCAUGGGAUAAGUGUUCCAGAAGUCUUAUAAUUUGUCACGAGAAUGUAUUUCAGUCCUAAAACUUGCAAAAAGUGCAUUUAAGUUCUAAAACUUGUCAAAUUGUUUCAAACGAAUCCUAAAAUCGACGCCGUUAGCCUUUUCUGUUAAAAAUGCUGACAUUGCAUUUUAAAUAAUUUUUUAUUUUCCACGUGGAUUUUUAAAUUAUUAUUAUUUUUAAAUAGAUUUAAAAACUAAAAAAAUUAAAUUUAUUCAUUUUAUCUUAUUUUCACCAAAAACUUUUUAAAAAGUUAAAAUAUUUUUUUUUAAAAAAAACAGCGACUCCUCUCCCCCGCUGCCGCCCAUUGCCGGAGGGGCCGGGCGACGGUCGCCAGCGACAGGGGUGGCCGGGCCUCGCCGGCCCCAGGUGAGGGCCGGGCGAGCCUUGCUGGCCCCAAGCGAGGGCCGACAAGACCUCGCCCAAGGCAGACGACAGUCGCUGGCCCCCCCGUGAGGGCCGGCGACGUCUCGCCCAGACGGGAACGGCAGGAAGACAGAAUCACCUCCACCACUACCCCCACGUGACAACCUUGACCUCUAGUGAACCCGAUCUGCAUGCUCCCUUCAGCCCGCAUGCAAGGGCGAGCUGGAGGCGAGCUGGGACUUACCUUGUCCUUCUCUACGACAUAACCGCACGUGAAGACAGCGAGGUCGCCCUGCUCCUCUUGAUCAGAAAGUGGAAGUCGAACAGCCCUCGACGCACCGGCUGAGGGAGGAUGACGCGAUGAAAGUUGAGCAGCGGCAGGAUGCGUAGAACCCGUUGUUCUUCGGCCACUUGGGACCUGUGAGUCUUCACUAGAGCAGACGGCACAAAGUGUGGAAAGGAGUGAGCGAAAGAUAGGAGGGAGGAGACGAGAACCUCUGAGCUAGAUUCUAGAGGUAAGGGAGGACUUGNNNNNNNNNNNNNNNNNNNNNNNNNNNNNNNNNNNNNNNNNNNNNNNNNNNNNNNNNNNNNNNNNNNNNNNNNNNNNNNNNNNNNNNNNNNNNNNNNNNNAGCCGAGUAGAUCAAGAUCCACGCUCCUUAGAUCCUCUCCCGGACUCCAGUGCCUUAGAGAUUAUAGUCGCUCACGUCCACCGAACACAGGAGGAUCUGGAUCAUUUUCUUCGAAUGUCUUCCACAAGGGCUAGCGUCCGUCCUCCCGCCCUGGGAAGAGCUGUCAUCACACCUGGGCGAGGCCGUGUCUGCCCUCGCUCGGGGCCGGAUAGGCUCUCCCAGAUGUAGCGAUCCUCACCGUCCACAAGCGAGGACCGACGAGUUCUCGUUCAGGGUGGGCGACGGUCGCAGACCUUCGCAAGGGGCCAGCGAGGCCCGGAAACAUACCUGCACAAGGCUGCUCUCCGUCGCCCAGCCCCUCCGGAGAUGGGCAGCGGAGAGGAGCCGCGUUGAUUUUUUUUUUUAACAAUUUUAAAAAUAAUUUUUUAAACUUUUCUUUUUAGUUUUUUUGAAAAUAAGAUAAUAAUAAAUUUAAUUUUUUAGUUUUUAAAUCUAUUUUUUUAAAAAAAAUAAUUAAAAAAUACACCUGGAAAAUAAAAAAUUAUUUAAAAUGCCACGUCAGCAUUUUUAACGGAAAAGGCUAACAACGUCAAUUUUAGGACUCGUUUGAAACAAUUUGACAAAUUUUAGGACUUAAAUGCACUUUUUUUAUAAGUUUUAGGACUGAAAUGUAUUUUCGUGACAAGUUUUAGAACUUCUGGAAUACUUAUCCCAAGAUUCAUCACUAUUGCUGUUCAUGAGCAUCCCUGGAGGCCAGAAGCCAACAGAUUGUCGGAUCUUAUGAUAUAAGAAGAGCUUGAAUCGCAUCACCUUUUGUAGUAGGAAAAUCUCACACAGAGUAGAUGCCAUUUUUCUACUUCCUCCUGCAAGAUAACUCCAUUAAUAGUGAAACAAAUGCAGACCCCCAUUGUGAACCAUUUGUUCUUUUGCUAUAAGAUAGAAGUUUCAUGUCUAGAUUUUAUCUUUGUCAUUCAUCACAUCAUACAUCGAUUUUGGCUUUAGAUCUGAAAAACACUGUAAAAUAUGGUGGAACAUAGUCAAAGAAACUGAUAAUGCUUAUCUUUAGUAGUCAUCGACAUUAUAAUGUACAUUUCGACAUACUUUUCCCUGUAUUGAAGGGUAGGCAAAAAUUUUACACCAACAAGUCACUUCUAUUUGCUAAAAUGAACCUAAUGUGUUCCCUAAUCUGUCUUGCUGGUAUCUCUCAUGUCAGAAGACCAAGAAAAGCAUCGAGAAAAGGUAGAAGGAAUGUAGGAGAAGAAAUUUUUUGUAUGCAUUGUAUAUUUUCUAUUGUGUACAAAGUGUAUUUAAUUACAAAGAAAGAGAUUAAUAAAGGAAAAGAAAUAUUCUCCUAUCUUUCUAAUCCUAAAAUAAACAUGAUUCUCUACCUAUCAACAAUUAGAUACGAUUUGAUGAAUCAUGCAACAUAAAUGUUCUGAUGAUAGCCUAUCAAAUGAGAUGUAAGACGAGAUGGGAUAACGAGUACUUGACGAUCUUGAAGAACCACAUAUGUAAUCCUUUGUCCAAGCUGGAGGGCGAGUUGCUAAACUAGAACGUCGUGGAAGUUCUUGUUGCAUUGAAGAGGACUCUUCUUCAGCAGGGGUUGAUUAUGGAUGUUCAGUGAAUUGGGCUGAUUCUUCUAUAUGAGACUCUUCAGUGGAGUGACUCGUAGAUGUCUCAAUAGGUAGUGUAGGCGAUUCACCAGUUGGUCCUGGGAGAGGAGUAGCAAGAAAUGUACCUCCCCAAAGAUAUCUUAUUCCAAUAAGAAUCUUGAAUUCCCUAUCUUCUCAUCUUCAAUUGAAGAAAUAAGAGUUUGGAAAGGAAAAAUAUUCUCAUGAAAAAUAACAUAUCUGCUUACGAAAAAUUCUCCUAUGGAUGGUGCAUAAAUCCGAUACCCCUUUUGCAAAGUAGGAUAUCCCAUGAAUAUACAUUCACUAGCUCGUGGUGCCAUCUUAUCCUUGUGUCCCACUGUAGUGACAUAACAGAGACAUCCAAAAACUCUGAGAUGACUUAGAUUCGGUUUCUUUCCAUACAACAUCUCAAAUGGCGUCUUUCAUUUCAGAAUACGUGAGGGCAUGCGAUUAAUCAAAUAUGCUGCUGUGACCACACAAUCUCCCCAAAAAUUCUCAGGAAUAGAUGCUUGAAAUUUGAGGGCAUGUGCUACUUCUAAGAGAUGACGAUGUUUCCUCUCAACAACACCAUUUUGCUGUGGUGUAUAAGUGCAAGAACUCUCAUGCAAGAUUCCAUUCAGUGAAAAUAAAGAAGCACACUCACUAUUGAAGAACUCCCUUCCAUUAUCAGUUCUAACCCGACGGAUUGUUUUUCCAAAUUGAGUUUUGGACAAGGUAAGGAAUGUUCUUAGGUGAGCAAAGACUUGAUUCUUGGAUUGCAUGAGGAAUAUCCAUGUCGCAUGAGAGAAAUCAUCAACAAUUGUGAGGAAAUAUCGUGACCCAUCGUGAUGCAUAGUAUGAUAGGGUCCCCAAACAUCAGCAUGGAUCAACGAAAAAAAUACUAAUUUGCUUGGGAAUUACUAUUUGGAAAAGGAGCACGUGUUUGCUUUGCCAAAGGACAGAUAGGACACCGGGGACAAGGGAAUAAGGCACUAUGUCCCAAUCUUUUAUGAUGAAGGGAAUUUUUGUCAUUGAUAACAUGGUUACACAAUGAAUUAUUGAAUUCAACAAACGAAAAAUUAAAAUUGUUGGGAAAAUGCAUCCAAAAAUAGAGCCCUUGAUAAGCUUUACCCAAGCCCAUCAGUUUGCCAGUCGAAAUGGCCUGAAGGAAACAAUUAUCUGGAGUGAAUAGGACACGACAUGAAUUUUCUUCAGAAGCUCGAUUAACUGAUAGGAGGUUGAAUUGGAAGUCAGGCACAUAAAGUAUAUUUCGAAGUGUAAUUAGGGGACUAAGAUUCACAGUGCCGGUCAUGACAACUUGUGUGGAAUUUCCAUUUGGAAGUUGUACUGAUAUAGGAAAGAAUAAUUUCUGGAUUUUGGAAAAGAAACCCUUAUCACAGAUUAUGUGAUCACUAGCACCUGAAUCAAUAAUCCAUGCAUUUUUCGAAAUUGAGUUCAUCAAGCAAUAAGAUGUACAUAUGAAGCUUCCAACCUUAUUAGAUGUAUCCAACAUUUUUAAAGCCCUCAUCAAUUCCUGAUACUGCUCAUGGGCAAUUGAUUUUUCUGUUGGUUGACUUAGUACAUGAAAAACUCGUGAAGAUUUUCUUCAUUCUUUUUCUCUAGGUCUCCCAUGUAAUUUCCAACAGUUUUCAAUUGUAUGAUGCGGACGUUUACAAUAGUCACAAUAUGAUUUACCUUUUUCCUUUUUGACCAUUGUUUUUUUGUAGUUGAAAGGAAUCUAUUGUUGGGCUGGAAAAUUUGAGCCGAAGUGGGCCCGUACGGUCCUUCUGGUCCAGUGGGCUAGAUUCCUUGUGGCUCAUUUUUCGCGCGCCUGAAUUCUUCCUCACAACCUGUCGACUUCGUGCAGCCCAUUUGCUCCGGCGAAAGUGCUCCGUGGGCCGUCCGAGAAGGGCCCAGUUGAUAAAAAAGAGAGACCGUUCGAUUGCUCGCCAAGAUCUGAGCCAUCCAUUUGUUCAGCAAAAAACAAGUUAGGGUUUCGCCCCCCCCCCCCCAACCCCCCCGGGUUCGCCCCCUUUUCUCCUCCGAUUUUUUGGGUUUCUUGUGGGGGGGGCUAAUGGGCUCUGGGCGUCAAAGGCCUCGCCUCACUUCCCCCUCCCUAAGUCAUUGUCCUCUGUUGGCUCUCUUCCUGAACGGUGAGCUGGUAGAUCCGGCCAAGAUUUGGCAUGGGAUCCAUUGUUAGGAUCUGGGACCGAAACGAAAGGUAUGUUUCGUUUAAGAUUAGGAGAAACCUAAUUGCCUUUUCUCUCUCGCGCAUGUUCUUGUACUGCAGGAGAACGGGUUCGAGCCAUUCAAAUUUUUCUUCGGCCAAUUCCAUUUCAUUCUAGAGUGCCGACAAUUUAUUGUAAACUGUCGCGACGCUCAUAUUCCCUUGCUUCAAAUCUGAAAUUUGCUGUGUUAUGGAAAAAAUCUUGAUUUGAUCUAGCUUUCCAUACAUCUCUUUAAUAUUGUCCUACAUCUCUUUCGUAUCUUCUGUCGGAGGAAGUCCCAUUGCUACUUCGGGUGAGAUACAAUUCCCAAUCCAAGUUCUAACGAGCUGGUUACAUUUUUUCAAAAAACAAGCCAUUCGCUUGUUGGUUGGAAUCGGAAUUGUUCUGUCUAGAAAACCCUCCUUAUCCUUCGUUACCAAGGUAUGCCGGAGUUCCCGCGACCAAGUCGAGUAAUUCUCUGGGCCCGUCAAUAGCUAACUGAUCAGUUUCAGUUUUGGUCCGUCGGCGUUCAUUGUGUACAGAGGGUCGCUAAGCUCCGACCAUCCUCCGGCAGCAAGGAUCUGAUAAGGAAAAAAACCAGGUGAAAAAUUUAGGUAGGUAUUCGCCCCUACAUUUGCUCUGUUUUCUUGACCCGCAUUAAGGAAAUUUGGGUAGGGAUUCAUCCCCCCGAUUCACUAGAUCCGCCCGUCUGCUCCGAGCCGAAGGUAGAGCCUGCCCCACUAUUGGUUGGUGCGCCUCCGUCGGUCCGCACGUUGCUUUGAUACCCCGGCUGUGAUGUAUGUGGGUUUACCCCCAUGGAUCCAUGGAUAUGGCAUCCACUGCUAAGAAUGGCCCGAAUAGGGAUGCCCCAAGUUGAAUUGAGCCGGAAGAUUUUUCCAUUGCAUGUGUGGAGACCGGAUCUGGCUUUGGCUGAAUUGUUGCUCCGCCAUGGUCGUCACAACGGUUGAAUCUGGAUUGUGCGUACUCUGUGGCGUUGCAUCUCUCGCUGGCUGGUCAUUUGGUUUUAAGGUGAGAGCUUCCGAUUUGUUCAUUGUAAAAGAAAUUUUUCAAGAGGGAUUGAUUCCUUUCGGUAACUGUUUUGCAAGUUACCAUUCCUCAAGGCAGUCAGGAAUGGUGGACGUGGAAGCUAUGCCAGAAUCGCAGGAAGCUCUGAUACCAUGUCAGAAGACCAAGAAAAGCAUCGAGAAAAGUUAGAAGGAAUGUAGGAGAAUAAAUUUUUUGUAUUCACUGUAUAUUUUCUAUUGUGUAGAAAGUGUAUUUAAUUACAAAGAAAGAGAUUAAUAAAGGAAAAGAAAUAUUCUCCUAUCUUUCUAAUCCUAAAAUAAACAUGAUUCUCUACCUAUCAACAAUUAGAUACGAUUUGAUGAAUCAUAUCUUUCAACAUCUCACGAUCUGUUCAUGUGAGAUGUCAGAUUGAGGAAAACUUCUUCACAAGGAAUCCUAAGGCCACCCAUCGGAUGAUCGAACCCAAACUCUUCUUCAGCUCGACUAGCAAGUCUUGAAAUGAAGGCCGAGUUAAACGAGAUAUUGGAACUACAUAUCUCCGCUUCUGGGUGUCUCCAACAUAAACUGCAAAAUAGCCCCUGGGCACACCAAUGGCCAUUGGAACUGCCUGCUUUUCAGUAAAUAGAGAUCAUCAAAUAAUCUACUUAGCGAGUCCGACAAUGGGCAAAUGGCUUCCCAUGAUUAUAUUUCUGCAUAAACUUUUAGAGAAGAGAAAACAAGAUCUACCCUUAAUUGUAUUGCUAUCUCUCUAGUAAGAAAAUGUGAAUUGAUCAGUUCUAUGUUGUUUGUAGAACUCAUCAAUCGGUUCUACUUAUAUAGAUGAGCUAUAGGUGGAAUUUAAUGUGUCAUGUUGAAUAUGUGUAGGAAUAGUCAUCUAACAUGCAUGGCCCAGGUAAGAAACAUAAGCCUUUAAGAGGUCACAUGGUAUUGUUUUCCAGCUAAUGAACUAAUGAUGUCUAUUUCAGGAAUGAAACUGAAGACACAAUGCCCCACUUCAGAACAUUUGAUAGAGGUCCUGAUAAUUCCCUGGAGAGAGUGGUGGCAUGAGCCUCUUGAUAAAAUUUGGUGGAACAUGGUGGACCACUUUUACUGACCAACAUGUUUGAGAAAUCAGCCAAUGUUGCCACAUGAGUAGUAGGGUCAUCUGAAAAUGAUCCUUGCCUACACAUGAUUUAAUAUCAUGGGGUAGUUGUUUUGGGAAGAAAAUGAGGUUCGGUGAAGUGGCAUAUUACGCCCUGGAUAUAACAAGUCUUGUAUUGACUGUAUAAAAAUAGUCGGUUCUAAUCUAAAUACAGUCCAUUGGCCACAAUUUGUGUCCUAGCUGCAUAUUUUGCUGUAGUUUGCCUCCGGAUCAAUGAAUGGUUUAUAGUAAAACAUGUAUUAGACAAAAAAUCAAAAUGUUGCAGAAAAAACUGGAAAUUACAGAGAUUCAGUCCUUAAAAAGCGAAAAUUCAAGAGGGUAGGCAAAACAUUUGCCUAAAAGUUCGUUGGGGCUGCAGACUUGUAAUCUGCUGAUUUUAUGGAAAAAUUACAAGAUCCAGCCAGCAGGUUCCUGGCAUAUAUGAAGUUAAGAGCGGGAAAAAUGAGAGUUAACAGCUCAAUGAGAUGUAACAGCCCUGUAAACUUCGUGAGGGAAAUUUUUGAUGGAGAUGCAGAUUUCAUUUUGCAAUCUAUUCUUUAGCCUUCAGUUUAUUCACUUGAUUUACAAAAAGAUCUAAUUGACCUUUUUGGUCUCCAAUCCUUGUCAUACGCCAAUUCUUGGUUAGGUCGUGGUGAGAAAAACAAUGUACUGCAACUCUGGACAGUAGCAUAUAGAAGCAACUCUUGGAUACUUCUUUUCUUCGAACCAUUGUCAGUUCACAUAAAACAAGAGGUGGAAACAAGAGUGCCUCUAGCACAGUAUGAUCAUACUGAAGAUCAGUUGGUAAUGAAGUAUAUAUCCUUAAGACUGAAUUUCUUUGCUUCCAGCACAAAGUCAUUGCCAAAAUGAUGAAUUGAUCACUAGGACAACCAGAUAUCCACAUAUAGAGAAUCAAUGUUAUUGAUCAACAUUGCAUCUUCAGUUGUACAUCUAUCUCCUUAAACUGUUACUCGCUAAACAAGAGGUAAAAAGAUCUACACUGGUCGUAAAAUUUGUUUACAAAAUCGUGUCAGGUCUAUCGACUAAUCUAUCUAGGAGUUCUCUAGUCAGGAUUGAUUAUCCAUCUAUGAGGCUGAGGAAAACUUCUUCAUUGAACGGAAUCGUGAGGCCUCCCAUUGGAUGAUUGAAGCCAAACUCCUCCUCAGCUUGAUUCAGCAGGUCCUGGAACAAGGGCCGAGAUAAGUAUGACAGAGGAACAUGGUCCUGUCUUGCAACUCAUCAACAGGAACUUUAAUAUCGAUCGAGACUAUUCAUUUUGUAUUGGAGUGCACCCUAUGCCCUACCACAGCCAGCAUAAGAAACCGGUGAAAAGGACCACCAGGAAGACAAGAAGGGUGGACAAGGUCACUUGCAAUGCCAAUUAUGGCGAAUCAUUGCUGAAGCAGAGGGAGGAGUAUUUAGAAGUUGUCAGAAUUAGCUCUUCAAAGAGCUGUAGUUGCUGGGUGAGUGGCCAGGCCUCCGAAAUCAAUGACUUAUUUGUUGAAGAAGUCAAAAUCAAUUGGACAUAAACCGGGAGGUUGUGCUCAUUGGUCAUAUCUGUGAUGAAACAUUUUAUAAGUGAACUUUAACUAACACUCAAUGACCAGUAAAGCAGCUUAGUAUAACUAUGCCAUCUGUUUUUUCUUUGUUUUCGUGGUAUUUACUUAAUUUGUAUCAAUGUUUUUGGCAUUUAUCGGUAACUUAGAGAUCAUGCUCUUUUAAAUGCGUAAGCAGCUUCACAUCGGCCUAAAAUAAAGCUGGCUGCAGAGCAAGUUAUAGUAUCACGUGAUCAUCAAGAAAUCUUCCAUUGCUCCUGAACCUGUUACAGCAGAAUUCUGCCCAACUAUGAGGAGACAAUAAUUAAACUUAAGAAUGUGACUGGAUAGCCAGGACAAAGGGAAUGAUUUGGGUAAGUGUCACCCUGCCUAGCGAGGCCGGCGGUGGGAAAACGGAUUCCCAUGACUAUAUUUCUUUGUAAACUUUUAGAGAAGAGAAAACGAGAUUGACCUUUGACUGUAUUGCUCUCUCUGAUAAGAGAAAGUGAAUUGUUCAGUUCUAUGUUGCUUGUUAUAUUCAUCAAUAAAUUUUACUUAUUUAGAUGAGCAGGAGGUGAAUUUCAUGUGCCAUGUCGACUAUGUGGAGGAAGUCAUCUAACAUGCAUGGCCCAGGGAAGAAACAUAAGCACUUGAGAGGUCACAUGGUAUUGUUUUCCAGCUAAUGAACUAAAUGUGUCCAUUUCAGGAAUAAAACUGAAGACAUAAUGCCCCACUUCAGAACAUUUAAUAGAGGUCCUGAUAAUUUCCUGGAGAGAGUGGUGGUACGAGAUCCUCUUGUGAAAAUUUGGCAGAACAACGGUGUGCCACUCGUACAAACUAACAUGUUUGAGACAUUAGCCAAUGUUGCCCCGAGUAGUAGGGUCACCUGAAAAUGAUCCUUGCUUAGGUAUGGUUUAAUAUCAUGGGGUAAUUGUUUUAUGCAGAAAAUAAGGUUCGGUGAGGUGGCAUAUUGCGCCCUGGAUACUACAAGUGUUAUAUUAACUGCAUUGCAAUAGUUGGAUCUAAUCUAAAUGCUGUCCAUUGGCCACUAUUUGCGUCCUAAUUGCACAUUUUCCUGUACUUCACCUCCAAAUCAAUCAAUGGUUUAUACUAAAACAUAUACUGGAUUAGAAAAAAAAUUAAAAUGUUGGGGAAAAAACUGGAAAUUACAGAGAUUCAGUCCUUAAAAAGUGAAAAGUCAAGAGGGUAGGCAAAACAUUUGCCUACAAGUUUGUUGGGGCUGCAGACUUGUAAUCUGCUGAUUUUAUGGAAAAAUUACAAGAUCCAGCUAGCAGGUUCCUGGCUUAUUAUUAAGUUAAGAGUGGGAAGAAUGAGAGUUAACAGCUAAAUGAGAUGUAACAGCCUGUAAACUUCAUGAGGGAAAAAUUUUGAUGGAGAUGCAGAUUGAUUUUGCAAUCUAUUAUUUAGCCCUUCAGUUUAUUCACUUGAAUAAACUGAUCAUACUAAAGAUCAGUUGGUUAUUAGGUAUAUAUCCUUAGACUGAAUUUCUUUGCUUCCAGCAGAAAGUGAAUACCAGAAGGACGAAUAAAUCACUAGGAAAACCAGAUAUCCACAUAUAGAGAAAUCAAUGUUAUUGAUCUAAAUUGCAUCUUCAAUUGUACAUCUGUCUAUCUCCUUAAACCAGUACUCCCUAAACAAGAGGGAAAAACAUCUACACUGGUCAUAAAAUUUGUUUACAAAAUCGUGUCAAGUGUAUUGACUAAUCUAUCUAGGAGUUCUCUAGUCAGGAUUGAUCAUCCAUCUAUUAGGCUGAGGAAAACUUCUUCGUUGCAUGGAAUCAUGAGGCCUCCCAUUGGAUGAUCGAAGCCAAACUCCUCCUCAGCUUGAUUCAGCAGGUCCUGGAACGAGGGCCGAGAUAAGUAUGACAGAGGAACGAUGAAUCUCUUCUUCUGGUUUUCUCCUACAUAAACUGGAAAAUGCCCCUUUGGAACGUCCAAGGGUGCAGAAUCUCCUUCUCUGCGACCAGAUAGAGACCGCCGCAACUUUUUUCCUGGCAAGCUGAUCCCCAUGAUCACGUGUCUGGAAACUCUUUUUCAAGAGGAAAGACUUGAGGAAGAUGCUAUGCCACUCGCUGGAAGGAAAUAGGAAGAAAAUUGAAUUCUGAUUUGGGUGCAGAAGCAAUGGCUUGGUAAUGUAUAUAUAGGGUAAGUGGAUGGCAAGUGAGUUUAUCUGCUAAGCUGAAUGAGUGACAGGAGGUUGCAGCAUAUAGGGCCAAAGGAG